Molecule: ribosomal RNA, 495 nt
Filed under: uncultured bacterium
Lineage: Bacteria
Description: partial 16S ribosomal RNA
Rfam family: Bacterial small subunit ribosomal RNA
Source: RNAcentral
GACGAACGCUGGCGGCGUGCCUAAUACAUGCAAGUAGAACGCUGAAGGAGGAGCUUGCUUCUUUGGAUGAGUUGCGAACGGGUGAGUAAAGCGUAGGUAACAUGCCUGGUAGCGGGGGAUAACUAUUGGAAACGAUAGCUAAUACCGCAUAAGAGUAGAUGUUGCAUGUCAUUUGCUUAAAAGGUGCAAUUGCAUCACUACUAGAUGGACCCGCGUUGUAUUAGCUAGUUGGUGGUGUAACGGCUCACCAAGGAGACGAUACAUAGCCGACCUUGGAGGGUGAUCGGCCACACUUGGACUGGGAAACGGCCCAGACUCCUACGGGGGGCAGCAGUAGGGAAUCUUCGGCAAUGGACGGAAGUCUGGCCGAGCAACGCCGCGUGAGUGAAUAAGGUUUUCGGAUCGUAAAGCUCUUUUGUAAGGGAAGAACGAAUGGGGGAGGGGAAUGUUCACGCUGUGACGGUAUCUUACCAGAAAGGGACGGCUAACUACGUG